CGGAAGCGGGUCGGGGGUAGCCUCGUGGCAGCGGCUGUAGUCUUGCCCAAGGGGUCUGCGUUUCUUUUUCAAACAAGUACUUAGGAUUUUGACAAAUGCGGUUUGACUCAACCCAGCAACGAGUUACCAUCUCACUCCUCUGGAUCAUGCUGCAGUCUUCAGGCAAGGGAGCCCAGCAGGAAUCCCCCCUACUGCUUCUGGGAAGAGUGACCAGAUGAACCAGAUGGCUGGAGCAGCAGAAACCAAAGGAGGAGCAUGAAGCCUUUAAGAAUCAGAUAGCUAAAACAUAAGGAAAAGUGAAGCCAAAAACUAGGCCUGGACAAAACAGAGCACCACAGUGGAAAAACAAGCACUGAAGGGGCUUAGCCAAAAGGGGAAAAAAAUAAACCAUCUCAAUUCUUCAAUUCAAAUUCCAAUCCUGUGCUUUCAGGAGAGAAGACUAAGAAACAGAAGAACUGGCAUUACAUUUCCUUUGUAGCUGCAGCUGCUCCUGGUUAUCUGCCUCCAUAUUGCCUGGCAGACAGCACUGCUGUGCCAAAACCCUGCAGAUUUCCCAAGAUGUAAAAACAAUGGCACCAAAGAUUGACCAGUGGAUCCAUCACAAACUUGCACAUGCUGGCAGGUACACAGGACUGUCUGACAGGCAUCGCCACAGCCACGGUAGCUAUGAUGAGCUGCAGCUGCUCUGCAUCAAGUCACUGGUGGUGGGGGACAGGUAAUGUUCCCUCUGGAAGCCCUACUAGGUCAAGCAAGGCUUUCUGACCUGUCUGGAGAGAUGUUGCUGAGCCUGCAUUUUAAUUGGUUUUCAGGUGCCAAGAUGGAUUUUCAUGAGGCAAGGAGACCUUGCUACAAGAUGUUACAUUACAUCCUCUCUUCUCAAGAGUACUCUCAUUUUUCAGAGCAAGUGCCCAUAAAGGGCAUGACGUUAGGCAUACCAUCUGCAGGAUGUGCUCUGCUCCUCCAUUACCAACCACAGACUGAUGGAUGCUGCUGCUCUAUCACCCUUGGGGGAAGCAUUACAGACCCCUUCCAACACCCACUCCCCAGUUUCAGUAAAGAUCCCAUGACACUCGGUGGAAAAAAACAACAUUGUAUUUGAUUUACAAUUAACAGGAUUUACAAAUGGUGACAAAGAAACAGAUUAGCCAUGAAAUUAGGAUGCCUUUGUUGUUGAAAGAGUAGCUGGCAAAGCACCUUUAUGUAGAAGUCAUGUACCUCAGUCCUAAACAGUGUAAAAUAACUUACAGCCUGGGCAGGUUAAGGGAUGAUUACACACAAAUGCACGGAAGUCGAGUACAAAACAAAUCAAAAAACCCCUCCCAGUCUACUAGGCAGGAAACCAGUCUUGGUGAGGCUUUUGACUUUCAGAAAGUGAAGGAAGGGCCUGCUGGCAAAUAUUAGGACGUUUUUCAAAAAGGGGGAAAAAAAAUCAACAAACAGUAAAAGUCACUGUGUGACAGCCUAGCAGGCAGGGAGAGCGGGCAGCAGACACCGCGUUAGCUUGCUGAGAAUCAGCAGAGUCUGGGCGCUUGGUGGGACAAUGAACGAAGGCGUACAGAUGGCAGAGCUUCAUUAAAAUGCUACUUGACUGCCAAAAACUUGCAAGACAAAGCGGAAUAAAGUUCUCUGAUGUGCAAUACAGCAAUUUAAGGAGACGUACCUAACUUUUUGAUUUGCAUGGAGCUUACCUAUAUUGUAAACACACACUUUCUCUGACGAGUUAUUUUAGUUCUCUUUGCUAUGGGUUAUGGUGUGUAUUCAAUCAAAUGCAGCAUUCCAAGGCUCAAAACUGACUGAGUGGUUUUCAAUAGAUGGGCAUAUGAUUUUUCCAAUAUACUAGUAUUUUACAUCACAAAUACAAUAAAAACAAGUGAUGGUACUUCUAGGACAGUUCCAAGAUUCAAAUAAAAAAUCAUCAGAACCAUUCUAAAAUAAGAUAUUAUACAUAAUCAGGUCAUGUUAAACAGCACACUCUCGGCAAGCAGCUAAUUACAAGCAUUCUGCUGGUCAUGUUUUUCACACAAAAGUCAUUCAAUAACACAUAAAUAUUUCUUUUUCUGAUCUGCUUCUUUUUACAAAACCAUUCAUCAGAUUCACAGAAUUAGUACAAGUAAGGCACAUUAGCAUAAUCAUAAAACUCACAAUAAUAACAAAGAAUUGUAAAGUUUUAAGGACCAAUUCCUUCUUUGCAGUGAUUUCUGAACCAAGUGAGAUAUUAUCAGUAGAACCCUCCUACACUGACAUGACUUUUAUUUCUGUUGCAGCCAACUGUGGUGGGUGCAAUACUGUGCAUCACCAUGGACAUAAAUAAUUAAAUUAAGAACCGUGUGUGGUAGCAAAUCCCUUUUUCAUAUCUUGCAGAGAAAUCAGACACAUUUACGACAUUUGCUAUGAGCAAAGACUAAGUUUGAGAGCUAUACAGAAGUGAAUUUCCAGUUACUAAAAUAAAAGGGGAUAUUGCAUGUGUCUCUGAGUAUAUUAUUGUUUUCCUAGUACAAAUAUUGCUUAGGAUAGAAAGGAUGCUAUAGUACUGAACUUACUGGAAUAAUGAAUCCUGAAUUCUGAUGCCUCUGAUUCUACUAAAUUAAAUGAAAUAUGUGUUUUCCUUCUUCCACCCCCCACCCUGCACCCAACAAAAGGACUCUCUUUCCCACAGAAGAUUCAUUUACACACAACACAGCUUUUCAUUAGAAGCAUAAUUUACAGUAAAAAUUCUUUACAUUACACCUCUGCUAUCAAAAAACAUGAAGUCUUUCAUUUAAAGUUGUAAUUACACAUUAAAAAAUAGAACACUAUUUCCUUAACAGGAAGAAUGAAUUUGAACAUCUUCGGAUCAGAUUUCUUUAUUGCGGCUUUUGAGUCAAAGGUCAGUCACUUUAUUCUCUAACGCAGCUGCUAUUUGCUGUAAACGGAAGGCAAGCUGCAUUUUUUGUGCAGCUGGAUCCUCUUCAAGUGCAUUUAUAAUCUGGAAGAAAUAAACAAAGAAUGUUUAGAAUCAUUUAGCUUAAAAUAUAUGACAUAGUUCCCAGACCGAGUGUUUGAUGCUACUUUGGUUGUAAAGUGUCUUUAGCAUUCAUUUUGUACUGAAGAUAAGUCCAUCUACUAGGCCCCAUGUUCUACUUUCACACAAAAGCAAUAAAAAUGAAUGUCUCUGUU
Pogoniulus pusillus (Red-fronted tinkerbird) is the source of this 3156-nucleotide long non-coding RNA. RefSeq lists it as uncharacterized. The transcript has 3 exons. The record is from RefSeq and is a predicted model, not a curated record. NCBI's taxonomy places the organism in Eukaryota, Metazoa, Chordata, Aves, Piciformes, Lybiidae.